CAAGUCGAACGCGAAAGUCCCGCAAGGGAUUAGUAGAGUGGCAAACGGGUUAGUAACACGUGGGUGACCUGCCUUCGAGCGGGGGAUAACGUCCCGAAAGGGACGCUAAUACCGCAUGACAUCCUGCCUUUGAAGAGGUGGACAUCAAAGCUGCGGAUCGCAAGACGUAGCGCUCGAAGAGGGGCCCGCGCCUGAUUAGCUAGUUGGUGGGGUAACGGCUCACCAAGGCAACGAUCAGUAGCCGGCCUGAGAGGGCGGACGGCCACACUGGGACUGAGACACGGCCCAGACUCCUACGGGAGGCAGCAGUGGGGAAUUGUUCGCAAUGGGCGCAAGCCUGACGACGCAACGCCGCGUGGAGGACGAAGACCUUCGGGUCGUAAACUCCUUUCGAUCGAGACGAACGGCCUCCGGGUGAACAAUCCGGAGGAGUGACGGUACCGAGAGAAGAAGCCCCGGCUAACUCCGUGCCAGCAGCCGCGGUAAUACGGGGGGGGCAAGCGUUGUUCGGAAUUACUGGGCGUAAAGGGCUCGUAGGCGGCCAACUAAGUCAGACGUGAAAUCCCUCGGCUUAACCGGGGAACUGCGUCUGAUACUGGAUGGCUUGAGAUUGGGAGAGGGAUGCGGAAUUCCAGGUGUAGCGGUGAAAUGCGUAGAUAUCUGGAGGAACACCGGUGGCGAAGGCGGCAUCCUGGACCAACACUGACGCUGAGGAGCGAAAGCCAGGGGAGCAAACGGGAUUAGAUACCCGGUAGUCCUGGCCCUAAACGAUGAAUGCUUGGUGUGGCGGGUAUCAAUCCCUGCCGUGCCGAAGCUAACGCAUUAAGCAUUCCGCCUGGGGAGUACGGGCGCAAGGCUGAAA
This 862-nucleotide ribosomal RNA is filed under the name uncultured Acidobacteriota bacterium. Its description in RNAcentral is "bacterial SSU rRNA". It matches the Rfam family "Bacterial small subunit ribosomal RNA", at positions 58 to 899 of the family's 1533-position model. The record is from RNAcentral. Lineage: Bacteria; Pseudomonadati; Acidobacteriota.